GAAGCGGCAAAAGCUCAAAUUUGAAAUCUGGCGUCUUUGGCGUCCGAGUUGUAAUUUGAAGAAGGUAUCUUUGGGCCCGGCUCUUGUCUAUGUUCCUUGGAACAGGACGUCACAGAGGGUGAGAAUCCCGUGCGAUGAGAUGACCCGGGUCUGUGUAAAGUUCCUUCGACGAGUCGAGUUGUUUGGGAAUGCAGCUCUAAGUGGGUGGUAAAUUCCAUCUAAAGCUAAAUAUUGGCGAGAGACCGAUAGCGAACAAGUACAGUGAUGGAAAGAUGAAAAGAACUUUGAAAAGAGAGUGAAAAAGUACGUGAAAUUGUUGAAAGGGAAGGGCUUGAGAUCAGACUUGGUAUUUUGCAUGCUGCUCUCUCGGGGGCGGCCGCUGCGGUUUACCGGGCCAGCAUCGGUUUGGAGCGGCAGGAUAAUGGCGGAGGAAUGUGGCACGGCUUCUGCUGUGUGUUAUAGCCUCUGACGAUACUGCCAGCCUAGACCGAGGACUGCGGUUUUUACCUAGGAUGUUGGCAUAAUGAUCUUAAGUCGCCCGUCUU
RNAcentral lists this ribosomal RNA (545 nucleotides) under Candida albicans. RNAcentral's name for it is "LSU rRNA". It matches the Rfam family "Eukaryotic large subunit ribosomal RNA", at positions 95 to 655 of the family's 3401-position model. The record is from RNAcentral. Lineage: Eukaryota; Fungi; Ascomycota; Pichiomycetes; Serinales; Debaryomycetaceae.